AGAAGAGCUUCAGUCAAGAACUAAGUCAAAAACUGAUUUGAUGAGCAUUUCCAGCGAACCAGACGAAGAUUCAACAGCAUGCUCCUUUUGUGACCAAUGAUAGAUCAUUUUUCUGGCACAUAUUUCAGUGAAAAAAAGAACACCAGUCUCAUAAAGAAAAAACAGGAAUUUUACGGAGAAUACGGAUGUUUUUCCGCAGACGUAAAGCAAGAAAUUAAAAGGAAUAAUUUAAAGAUAUAAUGGGAAUAUAUUAUUUGAUAAAUGAUAAAUCG
Saccostrea echinata is the source of this 272-nucleotide long non-coding RNA. RefSeq lists it as uncharacterized. The record is from RefSeq and is a predicted model, not a curated record. The transcript is spliced from 2 exons. NCBI's taxonomy places the organism in Eukaryota, Metazoa, Mollusca, Bivalvia, Ostreida, Ostreidae.